Molecule: microRNA precursor, 145 nt
Filed under: Gossypium arboreum
Lineage: Eukaryota; Viridiplantae; Streptophyta; Magnoliopsida; Malvales; Malvaceae
Description: MIR7502 microRNA precursor family
Rfam family: MIR7502 microRNA precursor family
Source: Rfam by way of RNAcentral
UAUUAAAUUUUUUUUCUAUUUCUACAGUUAAAAAUUAGUAUAAUUGAUGAAAUAACCAAGCAGUUACCCGUGUCGCACUAUGUGUAUUUCAUGCUAUUGUAAAGGAAUCAACUUUUAAUACUAAAAAUGAAAGAAAUUUUUAACA